GUGUCAGCAGCCGCGGUAAUACGUAGGGGGCUAGCGUUGUCCGGAAUCAUUGGGCGUAAAGAGCGUGUAGGCGGUCCGAUUAGUCGGCUGUGAAAGUCAAGGGCUCAACCCUUGAAUGCCGGCCGAUACUGUCGGGCUAGAGUCCGGAAGAGGUGAGUGGAAUUCCUGGUGUAGCGGUGAAAUGCGCAGAUAUCAGGAGGAACACCAAUGGCGAAGGCAGCUCACUGGGACGGUACUGACGCUGAGACGCGAAAGCGUGGGGAGCAAACAGGAUUAGAAACCCCUGUAGUCC
Molecule: ribosomal RNA, 292 nt
Filed under: uncultured bacterium
Lineage: Bacteria
Description: partial 16S ribosomal RNA
Rfam family: Bacterial small subunit ribosomal RNA
Source: RNAcentral